GGAGGGAUACCCAAGAGGCUAAAGGGGGCAGACUGUAAAUCUGUUGGCACCGCCUUCGCUGGUUCGAAUCCAGCUCCCUCCACCA
Molecule: transfer RNA, 85 nt
Filed under: Methylocystaceae bacterium
Lineage: Bacteria; Pseudomonadati; Pseudomonadota; Alphaproteobacteria; Hyphomicrobiales; Methylocystaceae
Also listed under: 1 other name
Description: tRNA-Tyr
Rfam family: tRNA
About the family: Transfer RNA (tRNA) molecules are approximately 80 nucleotides in length. Their secondary structure includes four short double-helical elements and three loops (D, anti-codon, and T loops).
Source: RNAcentral